CAAGUCUGGUGCCAGCAGCCGCGGUAAUUCCAGNUCCAAUAGCGUAUAUUAAAGUUGUUGCAGUUAAAAAGCUCGUAGUUGAAUUUCGGGACUAAUAUGUCGGUCGUACUUUGUACGUACUAGCAUUAUUGGUUUCUCCCUUCUGACGAACCACGAUGUCAUUAAUUGGUGUCGCGGGGAAUCAGGACUGUUACUUUGAAAAAAUUAGAGUGUUUAAAGCAGGCUCACGCUUGAAUACAUUAGCAUGGAAUAAUGAAAUAGGACGUUUGACCCUAUUUUGUUGGUUUCUAGGAUCGACGUAAUGAUUAAUAGGGAUAUUGGGGGCAUUAGUAUUCAAUUGUCAGAGGUGAAAUUCUUGGAUUUAUUGAAGACUAACUACUGCGAAAGCAUUUGCCAAGGAUGUUUUCAUUAAUCAAGAACGAAAGUUAGGGGAUCGAAGACGAUCAGAUACCGUCGUAGUCUUAACCAUAAACUAUGCCGACUAGGGAUCGGAUGAUGUUAAUUUUAUAAUGACUCAUUCGGCGCCUUACG
This 531-nucleotide ribosomal RNA is filed under the name uncultured Glomus. Its description in RNAcentral is "SSU rRNA". It matches the Rfam family "Eukaryotic small subunit ribosomal RNA", at positions 556 to 1092 of the family's 1831-position model. Lineage: Eukaryota; Fungi; Glomeromycota; Glomeromycetes; Glomerales; Glomeraceae. The record is from RNAcentral.